GCAGACACAUUCCAGCCAAUCAGCAGCAGACCCUCCCUCCCAGACCCUCCCACCUCCUGGACAGCAUCCAUUUUACAUUCAUUGUGCUGCAUUCUUAGUGAGCUGUCCAGGAGGUGGGAGGGUCUGGGAGGGAGGGUCUGCUGCUGAUUGGCUGGAAUGUGUCUG
This 165-nucleotide microRNA precursor is filed under the name Pelobates cultripes (western spadefoot toad). The record is from RNAcentral. Lineage: Eukaryota; Metazoa; Chordata; Amphibia; Anura; Pelobatidae.